AAUAAGGUAAGCUAAUUAAGCUAUUGGGUUCAUACCCCAUAUAUAAAGGUUAUAAUCCUUUCUCUAUUA
RNAcentral lists this transfer RNA (69 nucleotides) under Olophrum piceum. RNAcentral describes it as "tRNA-Met". It matches the Rfam family "tRNA". From Rfam's summary of the family: Transfer RNA (tRNA) molecules are approximately 80 nucleotides in length. Their secondary structure includes four short double-helical elements and three loops (D, anti-codon, and T loops). The record is from RNAcentral. Lineage: Eukaryota; Metazoa; Arthropoda; Insecta; Coleoptera; Staphylinidae.